UUGCAGCCAGUCAAGCUGACCGUGCUGUUUUCCCCGCUUCCCCCGGGGGCCUGGUGUGCAGUGGCUGCAAACAGCGCCCUCCCCGAUAGUGUGUGCAGCAUGUUGCCCUAAGGGGCCUUGGAGAUAGCC
This is a small nucleolar RNA of 129 nucleotides. Its record names the gene SNORA70. It matches the Rfam family "Small nucleolar RNA SNORA70". Rfam says of the family: snoRNA U70 seems to be exclusive to mammals and is a member of the H/ACA class of snoRNA which contain H (ANANNA) and ACA box motifs. The record is from Ensembl.